AGUGAAUAGAUACCCCGGUAGUCCCAGCCGUAAACGAUGCUCGCUAGGUGUCAGGCAUGGCGCGACCGUGUCUGGUGCUGCAGGGAAGCCGUGAAGCGAGCCACCUGGGAAGUACGGCCGCAAGGCUGAAACUUAAAGGAAUUGGCGGGGAGCACAACAACGGGUGGAGCCUGCGGUUUAAUUGGACUCAACGCCGGACAACUCACCGGGGGCGACAGCAAUAUGUAGGCCAGGCUGAAGACCUUGCCUGAAUCGCUGAGAGGAGGUGCAUGGCCGUCGCCAGUUCGUACUGUGAAGCAUCCUGUUAAGUCAGGCAACGAGCGAGACCCGUGCCCACUGUUACCAGCAUGUCCUCCGGGACGAUGGGUACUCUGUGGGGACCGCCGAUGUUAAAUCGGAGGAAGGUGCGGGCCACGGUAGGUCAGUAUGCCCCGAAUCUCCCGGGCUACACGCGGGCUACAAUGGAUGGGACAAUGGGUCCUCCCCUGAAAACGGGCUGGUAAUCUCACAAACCCAUUCGUAGUUCGGAUCGAGGGCU
RNAcentral lists this ribosomal RNA (538 nucleotides) under uncultured bacterium. RNAcentral describes it as "bacterial SSU rRNA". It matches the Rfam family "Archaeal small subunit ribosomal RNA", at positions 724 to 1262 of the family's 1478-position model. The record is from RNAcentral.